RNAcentral lists this ribosomal RNA (505 nucleotides) under Rhinocylapidius vittatus. RNAcentral's name for it is "partial 16S ribosomal RNA". Lineage: Eukaryota; Metazoa; Arthropoda; Insecta; Hemiptera; Miridae. The record is from RNAcentral.
GGUCUUUUGGAUUUUAUAUAAGAUCGGAUCUGCCCAAUGAUAUAUUAAAUGGCUGCAGUAUUUUGACUGUACAAAGGUAGCAUAAUCACUUGUCUUUUAAUUGAAGACUGGAAUGAAUGAUUUGAUGAGAAUUAUACUUUCUUUAUUUUAUAAAAAAAAUUUAAUAUUUAAGUUAAAAGGCUUAAAUGUUAUUAAGGGACGAGAAGACCCUAUAGAACUUUACUUGUAUAUAAAUAUGUAAGUAAUUGAUUUAAAAUUUAUAUAUUUAUAUAUAAUUUAUAUUGGGGUGAUAAAAAAAAUUUUUUAACUUUUUUUCUUAUAAACAUUUAUAUAUGUAUUUUUGAUCCUUUAUUAACGAUUAUAAGAUUAAGUUACCUUAGGGAUAACAGCGUUAUUAUUUUGUGGAGAUCUUAUCGAUAAUAUAGUUUGCGACCUCGAUGUUGGAUUAAAAUUAGGUAUAGGGGUAGAGGUUUAUAUACUAAGUCUGUUCGACUUUUAAUUUUUU